This 460-nucleotide ribosomal RNA is filed under the name uncultured bacterium. RNAcentral describes it as "partial 16S ribosomal RNA". It matches the Rfam family "Bacterial small subunit ribosomal RNA", at positions 338 to 795 of the family's 1533-position model. The record is from RNAcentral.
CCUACGGGGGGCAGCAGUGAGGAAUAUUGGUCAAUGGGCGGAAGCCUGAACCAGCCAAGUAGCGUGCAGGAUGACGGCCCUACGGGUUGUAAACUGCUUUUAUACGGGAAUAACGCGCCUUACGUGUAGGGCUUUGCAUGUACCGUAUGAAUAAGGACCCGCUAAUUCCGUGCCAGGAGCCGCGGGAAUUAGGAAGGUCCGGGCGUUAUCCGGAUUUAUUGGGUUUAAAGGGAGCGUUGGCCGCAUGUCCAGCGUGCCGUGAAAUGUUCGGGGUCAACCCUGGCCUUGCAGCGCGAACUGGCGUGCUUGAGUCCGCGGAAAGCAUGCGGAAUUCGUCGUGUAGCGGUGAAAUGCUUAGAUAUGACGAAGAACCCCGAUUGCGAAGGCAGCUUGCUGCAGCGGAACUGACGCUGAUGCUCGAAAGCGCGGGUAUCGAACAGGAUUAGAUACCCGGGUAGUC